GGCGGACGGAUUAAUAAUGUUUGCCUACGUACCCUUCACUAUGGAAUAGUCCCGGGAAACUGGGUUUAAUACCAUAUACGCCCUUCGGGGGAAAGAAUUUCGGUGAGGGAUCGGCCCGCGUUAGAUUAGUUAGUUGGUGGGGUAAUGGCCUACCAAGACUACGAUCUAUAGCUGGUUUGAGAGGAUGAUCAGCAACACUGGGACUGAGACACGGCCCAGACUCCUACGGGAGGCAGCAGUGGGGAAUCUUAGACAAUGGGGGCAACCCUGAUCUAGCGAUGCCGCGUGAGUGAUGAAGGCCUUAGGGUCGUAAAGCUCUUUCGCCUGUGAUGAUAAUGACAGUAGCAGGUAAAGAAACCCCGGCUAACUCCGUGCCAGCAGCCGCGGUAAUACGGAGGGGGUUAGCGUUGUUCGGAAUUACUGGGCGUAAAGCGCACGUAGGCGGAUUAGUCAGUCAGAGGUGAAAUCCCAGGGCUCAACCCUGGAACUGCCUUUGAUACUGCUAGUCUUGAGUUCGAGAGAGGUAAGUGGAAUUCCGAGUGUAGAGGUGAAAUUCGUAGAUAUUCGGAGGAACACCAGUGGCGAAGGCGGCUUACUGGCUCGAUACUGACGCUGAGGUGCGAAAGUGUGGGGAGCAAACAGGAUUAGAUACCCUGGUAGUCCACACCGUAAACGAUGAAUGCCACUCAUCUGGUAGUAUACUAUUCGGUGACACACCUAACGGAUUAAGCAUUCCGCCUGGGGAUUACGGUCACAGGAUUAAAAC
RNAcentral lists this ribosomal RNA (766 nucleotides) under Celeribacter halophilus. RNAcentral's name for it is "bacterial SSU rRNA". It matches the Rfam family "Bacterial small subunit ribosomal RNA", at positions 97 to 900 of the family's 1533-position model. The record is from RNAcentral. Lineage: Bacteria; Pseudomonadati; Pseudomonadota; Alphaproteobacteria; Rhodobacterales; Roseobacteraceae.